GACGAACGCUGGCGGCGUGCUUAACACAUGCGAGUCGAACGGAAAGGCCCUGCUUUUGUGGGGUGCUCGAGUGGCGAACGGGUGAGUAACACGUGAGUAACCUGCCCUUGACUUUGGGAUAACUUCAGGAAACUGGGGCUAAUACCGGAUAGGAGCUCCUGCUGCAUGGUGGGGGUUGGAAAGUUUCGGCGGUUGGGGAUGGACUCGCGGCUUAUCAGCUUGUUGGUGGGGUAGUGGCUUACCAAGGCUUUGACGGGUAGCCGGCCUGGGAGGGUGACCGGCCACAUUGGGACUGAGAUACGGCCCAGACUCCUACGGGAGGCAGCAGGGGGGAAUAUUGCACAAUGGGCGGAAGCCUGAUGCAGCAACGCCGCGUGCGGGAUGACGGCCUUCGGGUUGUAAACCGCUUUCGCCUGUGACGAAGCGUGAGUGACGGUAAUGGGUAAAGAAGCACCGGCUAACUACGUG
Molecule: ribosomal RNA, 468 nt
Filed under: uncultured bacterium
Lineage: Bacteria
Description: partial 16S ribosomal RNA
Rfam family: Bacterial small subunit ribosomal RNA
Source: RNAcentral